Non-coding RNA from Macaca mulatta (Rhesus monkey), 4053 nucleotides. The record is from RefSeq and is a predicted model, not a curated record. Lineage: Eukaryota; Metazoa; Chordata; Mammalia; Primates; Cercopithecidae.
AACACAGCAGCGCUCCGCUGACGUCACUUCCGCCUCCAGCUUCAAACCUGGAAGAGAGCUUGGGGACUGCAACCUCAGCCAAGCUGAACGUCCUCAGGCAGAGAUUCUGGUUUACUCCCCAUGGCUACGGAGACGCCUUGGAGACCUUGGAGUCGGCUCAGCUUGAGGGAUGAAGGCCAAAAGGGGCCCAGAGCACAAGGCUGAGCGCCGCUGGGUUGGGGUCUCCAUGACCGAGCUGGUCUCAGCAAGUGGCGCCCAAACAUGGGGCUCGAAUCCGGGUUGAAGAGCGAUGGUUGGAGAAAGUGGAACUAUGCUGGAGGACACCCGAGUACUCUUAAGCAAUCCCCGUGGUGAGUAAGAAGGAGAGCUCGGAAGCAUCAGGGUAACAAUGGGACAAGAGUCGAGUAGGCACGAGGCUUAUUUGAGUCUGCUUUGGCAGCUCCUCAGAAAAGGAGGAGUGAAAGUUAGCACUAGCCGACUUAUGCAGCUUUUUAGUGCGGUAGAGAAAUAUUGCCUCUGGUUUCCGAACUGAGGAACUAUGGAUGUAGAGGUCUGCGAGAAGGUAGGCAGCGCACUGAAAAAGGCAUAUAAAGAUGGUGCUGAGGAUAUUCCUAUAACUGUCUGGUCAGUGUGGUCUCUGAUUCAUUCCACCUUGGAACCUUUUCACACUGAGGAGGAGGAGGAAGGAGACAAAGAAGAGGGGGAGUGUGAUAAUGUUGCAGAAGAGAUAAAAGAACAGAUUUGUCAACCGCUUAAAGAAACCCAAGAAGGGGAAGCUUGUCCCUGCUCCUUGGCACCCCCUCAAUACCUUGAAGAUAAAGAAUGGCCUGACCCUCUGGAUAUUUCUUUUCUGGAGGACACUGAGCAAAAAAUAGUCUCCCCAGGAACUGUUCGAGCAGCACCCCAAGUGACUGCCCUCAGUUCUAUUCAGGCAGGAAUUCAGCAAGCUAGAAGAGAAGGUGAUUUAGAGGCUUGGAGAUCCCUGUUAGGAUACACCCCCCAGGUCAACAGGGGAAUGUUAGGGCUACAUUUGAGCCUUUUCCCUUUAAAUUACUGAAAGAGUUUAAACAGGCUAUCAGUCAGUAUGGACCAGGUUCUCCUUUCAUGAUGGGUCUGUUAAAAGAAUGUUGCUACCUCCAGUCAGAUGAUUCCCAUUGAUUGGGACGCUCUUACUCAAGCCUGUCUGGCUUCUGCUCAAUUUUUACAGUUUAAGACCUGGUGGAAGAUGAAGAUGAAGCUUCUACUCAAGCUGCCUGCAAUGCACAAGUUCAACCUCCAAUUAAUAUAACUACAGACUAACUUUUGGGAGUCAGUGGCUGGGCUGCAUUAGACGCACAAGUAAUCAUGCAGGAUGAUGCUAUAGAUCAGCUUACAGGAGUGUGCAUUAGAGCUUGGGAAAAAAAAAAUCUUCAGGUGGAGAACAAUACCCUUCUUUUAGUGCUGUUAAGCAGGGGCCAAAAGAACCUUAUGCAGAUUUUAUAGCUCAGUUACAGGAGUCUCUUAAAAAGGUGAUUGCAGAUUCGACUGCUCAGGAUAUAGUGUUGCUGUUAUUAGCUUUUGACAAUGCUAAUCCUGAGUGCCAGGCUGUUGUGUGACCUAUUAGAGGGAAAGCACAUUUAGUUAAUUAUAUCAAGGCCUGUGACAGUAUUGGAGGUAAUCUGCAUAAAGCUACUCUGUUAGUGCAAGCCAUGGCAGGGCUGAGAGUGGGUAAAGGAAAUGUUCCAUUUCCUGGAGCUUGUUUCUACUGUGGGAAACAUGGGCAUACAAAGAGAGAAUGUAGAAAAAAUCAGAGGGUCCAACCCCCCUUUGAUGGAAAAAAGAAAACUGCUGAACCAGGUCUACACCUGAAGUGUAAAAAGGAAAGCCUUUGGCCAAUCAGUGUCAUUCUAAAUUUGAUAAGGACGGAAACCCGAUUUCGAGAAAUGCCAUGAGGGGCCCGUCCCAGGCCACAUGUCAAACCAGGGCAUUCCUGGCUCAGGUCACUCCCUCACUCCUGUACAAUGCUUGUCCCCCGCCACAGCUGGUAGUGCCACAGUAGAUCUGUGUUUCACCAGGGCUAUGAGUCUAUGGCCUGGAAAGCCGACACAGAAAGUACCAACAGGAGUCUGCAGACCUCUGCCAGCAGGAACGAUAGGACUACUUCUGGGAAGAUCUAGUUUAAAAGGAGUGCAGGUUCAUACAGGAGUAAUUGAUUUGGAUUGUAAUGGGGAAAUUCAAAUUGUUAUAUCUACCUCCGUUCCUUAAAAGGCAGAGCUGGGACAGCAUAUAGUGCAGCUUCUGAUUUUACCAUAUGGGGGACUAGGAAAAAGUGAAACUAAAAGAACAAGGGUAUUUGGCAGUAUAAAUAAACAAGGGAGAGCCGCCUACUGGGUAAAUCAAAUUACUGAUAACUAUCCUACCUGUGAAAUAACUAUUCAAGGAAAUAAAUUUACAGGUUUGGUAGAUACAGGAGCAGACAUUUCAAUCAUUUCUCUACACUGGCUGUCCACAUGGCCAAUUCAACCUACUCAAUUUAACACAGUUGGAGUUGAUAAAGCCCCUGAAGUAUAUCAGAAUACUUAUAUUUUGCAUUGUGAAGGCCGAUGGACAACCUGGGACUAUUCAACCAAUUAUAACUUCUAUACCUAUAAAUUUAUGGGGGCUCUCCCCCUAUAAAUUUAUUACAACAUUGGGAAGCACAAGUUCUAAUUCCUGAGCAAUUAUACAGCCCUCAAAGUCAACAUAUGAUACAUGAAAUGGGCUAUGUUCCUGGUAUGGGACUAGGAAAAACUAUGCAAGAUUUGAAGGAAACUCUUCAAGCAGAAAGACAAAGUUCCCGCCAAGGCUUAGGAUACCAUUUUUUAUGGCGGCCAUUGUUAAGCCUUCAGAGCCCAUCCCGUUAAAAUGGCUGACAGACAAGCCAAUAUGGAUAGAACAGUGGCCUCUGAGUAAAGAGAAACUGGAGGUUUUAAAUGAACUAGUCAAAGAACAGCUUCAAAAGGGACAUAUAGCUCAAAUCCUCUCCCCUUGGAAUUCCCCAGUUUUCGUAAUUAAGACACAACCAGGUAAAUGGAGAAUGUUAACUGACUUAAGGGCAAUUAAUUCAGUUAUAUAACCUAUGGGGGCAUUACAGCCAGGACUGCCUUCUCCUGCUGAUUCCAAAAAAAAAAUUGGCCUUUAAUACUCAAAGAUUUCAAAGACUUGUUUCUUUACUAUCCGUUUAGCUCAUCAGGACUGUGAACGGUUUGUAUUUACAAUUCCUGCAGUAAACAGCCUGCAGCCUGCUAAGCAUUUUAAUUGGAAAGUGUUGCCACAAGGCAUGUUAAACAGUCCAACAAUUUGCCAGACUUACAUAGGGCAAGCAAUUGAACCUACUCAUAAAGAUUUUCACAGUGUUACAUUAUUCAUUAUGUGGAUUAUAUUCUUUGUGCUUCCCCCACUCCAGAAAUAUUACUCUAAUGUUAUGAUCAUUUGCAAAAUUCAAUUUCUCAUGCCAGUUUAAUUAUAGCUCCUGACAAAAUUCAGACUACUCCUCCUUACUCCUACUUGGGGACCUUAGUAGAUGACACCACAAUAGUGCCACAGAAAGUAGCCAUAUGUAGGGAUCAACUGAAAACAUUGAAUCAGACUUUCAAAAAUUACUAGGGUAUAUUAAUUGGACACAGCCUGCUCUAGGCAUUCUGACUUAUGCCAUGAGUAAUCUGUUUUCUAUCCUUAGAGGAGAUCCUAGUGUCACAAGCCCUCAGCAAUUAACAAAAGAAGCUGAGGCACAGCUGCAGCUAAGUGAAAAGCAAGUCCAUAAGGCCCAAAUAAAUAGAAUAGAUCCAGAGAAUACUCUAGAUUUGCUAAUUUUUCCAAAUCAUUCACUUACUGGUAUUAUUGUUCAAGAGCAAGAUCUUGUAGAGUGGCUUUUCCUUCCACAUACUGAUCUACGGACUUUGACUCCUUAUUUGGAUCAAAUUGCUACUAUGAUAGGAAAUGGGAGAACUCAGAUUGUUAAAUUACAUGGAUAUGAUUCUGAAAAAAUUAUUGUCCCUCUCACAAAGACACAAAUACAGCAAGCUUUUAUAAAUA